This 66-nucleotide transfer RNA is filed under the name Heterodoxus macropus (wallaby louse). RNAcentral describes it as "tRNA-Trp". The record is from RNAcentral. Lineage: Eukaryota; Metazoa; Arthropoda; Insecta; Psocodea; Boopidae.
UAGUUUCUAGGUUAAAAAAACCUAUAUAGUUCAAAUAUAUCAAUGUAUAAAUUUAUACGAAACUAA